GCUUGUCUCAAAGAUUAAGCCAUGCAUGUCUAAGUAUAAGCAUUUAUACAGUGAAACUGCGAAUGGCUCAUUACAUCAGUUAUAGUUUAUUUGAUAGUCCCCACUACUUGGAUAACCGUAGUAAUUCUAGAGCUAAUACAUGCGUCAAGUCCCUACCGCGCGAGCGGGAAGGAUGUGUUUAUUAGAUACAACCAACCCUUCGGGUCCCUGGUGAAUCAUAAUAACCGAACGAACCGCAUGCUUCGGCGGCGGUGGUUCAUUCAAGUUUCUGCCCUAUCAUGCUCUCGAUGGUAGUGUAUUGGACUACCAUGGCUCUCACGGGUAACGGGGAAUUAGGGUUCGAUUCCGGAGAAGGAGCCUGAGAAACGGCUACUACAUCUAAGGAAGGCAGCAGG
RNAcentral lists this ribosomal RNA (395 nucleotides) under Adriamonas peritocrescens. RNAcentral's name for it is "partial small subunit ribosomal RNA". It matches the Rfam family "Eukaryotic small subunit ribosomal RNA", at positions 30 to 432 of the family's 1831-position model. The record is from RNAcentral. Lineage: Eukaryota; Bigyra; Bicosoecida; Siluaniidae.